ACCUGGGGAAACGGGAAAUAUACUUUUGACUUGUGAAGAUGAAGUUGCUUUUUGUUCUCUUGUGGCCACAACUACAAUUAGGGGAAAAGAGUAACGUUGGAGUUGAAAAGCCUGGCAGACACCAUGUUCGACUGAGUGAUCAGAGUGAGCGCCGCCAGCCAUGAAACACACUGAAUCUGGAACAAUGGUGCAGCCCACUAUGGCUUCUCUGAUAGUCCUGCCAAAGGGCCUCAGCUGAAGAACCCAGAAGACAGUGGAAAAAGUUUUUCCCUCCCUAUAUGGGAGUGUGAGAGCCCAACUCUGCCUCAAGAGAGAAGAAAGUCUAAGGAGUUACUUGUGCUCCAGAGCUCCCUGGGAAUCAGACAGAGAGCCUAAUGGACCUGGAGGAAAAUAAAAACCCAACUCCAUUUCCCCCUAGCCACCCUGUCCUAGCUCAGGGAAAAACUGAGAAGCUGAAUGAAGCUCACAGUCCAGGGCACAGGCUCAAGACAGACUGGGUCCUAAUCACAGGUCUACACACUGAGUCCUAAUCACAGGGCUAUGGAACCCUUCCCUUCCCCACACCUCACCAAAGGCCUAUUUGCCACCGUUUCUGACCCAGUGCAUCACAUCUGGCUAUCAACAAACAAUCACAAGGCAUAAAAAAAGGUAAAGACCACAGUCUGAAAAGACAGAGCAAAUGUCAGAACCAGACUCAGCUAUGGCACGGAUGUUGGAACUAUGAGACUGGGGAUUUAAAAUAACUAUGAUUCAUGUGCUAAGGGCUCUAAUGGAUAAAGUGGACAGUAAGCAAGAACAGAUGGGCAAUGUAAAUAGAGAGAUCAAAGUUCUAAGAAAGAAUAAAAGAGAAAUGCGAGAGAUCAAAAACACUAACAAAUGAAGGAUGCUUCUCACGGGCUCAUUAGUAGGCUGGGCACAGCUGAGAAAGACUCUCUGAGGCUGAGGAUAUCUCAAUAGAAACAUCCAGAACUGAAAAGCAAAGGGAAAAAAUGCUGAAUGAAAAAGGCAUAGAAUAUCCAAGGACUGUGGGAUAAUUAGAAAAGGUAUAUGUUUAAUAGGAAUACCAAAAGGAGAAGACAGAGAGAAAGGAACAGAUGGAAAGUUGGAAACAAUAAUGACUGAAAAUCAGACACCAAACCACAGAUCCAGGAAGCUCAGAGAACACCAACCACGAUGAAUGUCAAAAUUAAGCCUAGCCACAUUGUUUUCAAACUACAGAAAAAUCAGAUAAGGAAAAAAAUCCCAAAAGAUGCCAAAGGUGAAAAACACCUUACUUCCUUAGAGGAACAAAGGUAAGAAUUUCAUCUGACUUCAUGGAAACCAUGCAAGCAAGAAGACAGUGGAGUGAAAUAUUGAAUGUGUUGAGAAAAAAACUCCACCAGUCUAGCAUUCUAUACUCUGUGACAUUAUCCUCCAAAAGUAAAGGAGACUUAAAGGCUUUCUCAGACAAACAAAAAUUCAGGGAAUUUGAUGCUAGCAGAUCUGCCUUGUUAAAUGUUCAAAGAAGUUAUUCAAGGCAAUAAAAAUUGUUAUAGGUCAGAAGGUCAUAUCUACAUAACAAAAGAAAGAACAUCAGAGAAGAAAUAAGUGAAGGUAAAAUGAAAUUUUUAACUUGUUACUCUUAAUCUAACAGAUCAAUUUGUUCAAAAUUAUUGUAGCCACAAUGUAUUAACAUAUAUACAAAUGUGCUACCGAGCCAUGAAAAGAUAUGAAGGAAACAAAUGCAUAUUACUAAGUAAAAGAAGCCAAUCUGAGAAAAGCUAUGUAAUAUAUAAUUCCAACCACAGGACUCACUGGAACAGGUAAAACUAAGGUGGCAAUAAAAGGAUUAGUGGUUGUCCGGGGUUAGGGUGUGGGAGGGAUGAACAGGUAGAGCACAGAGGAUUUUUUAGGGCAGCGAUUCUUUAUGAUAUGACAAUGGUAGAUACAGCUCAGACACUUGUCAAAACCCAUAGAAUGUGCAAAUGAAAAGUGAACCCUGAUGUGAACUAUGGACUUUGAGUGAUAAUGACGUGUCCAUGGAGGUUCUUUGACUGCAACAAACAUGCCACUUUGGUAGAGAAUGUCGAUCAAGGGGGAGGCUGUGCAUGUGUAGGGGCAGGGGGCAUAUGGAAAUCUCUGUACUUUCCACUUAAUUUUGCAGUGAACCUAAAACUGCUCUAAAAAGCAAAGUCUAUUAAAGAAAAUUCACAAUAACCUAAAACAGAUGUAGGCUAGAUUUGGCCAGAGGGCUACAGUUUGUCGAAUCUUGACUUAGAAUAAGUCCUUCGUUGAAGAAGUAAAAACUAUAACAAAAACCACCAACCAAAGUGUGUUCCAGUUACUGCUGCUGCAUAAUAAAUCACCCCCAAACAACUCUUUGAUUUUGCAUAAUCGUGUGGGUCAGGAAUUUUGGAAGGGCAUCUGCUGGGCAGUUGUCGAUCACUGUAGUCAGAUAUUGGCUGGGGCUGCAGCCACCUGAGGGCACAAGGGCCAGACAUCCAUGAUGCUCACUCCCGUGGCCUGGCAGCGGAUGGUGACUCUUGUCUGGGGGCACAGCUAGGCAGUCUGCUGGAGCACCACAUGAGGCCUCUCCAGCAUGGAGUUUUCUCAAUGCUGCAUGCUGCCCCCACAGCAAGCAACCCAAGAAAACCGGUGAAAGCUACAUGGCCUUUCCUUUUCUAGUGCUGAGAAGCCUCAGAGUAACUUCUUCCCCAUUCUUCUGGUUACAAGAGAAUCAGGAGCCAGUCCCACGUCAAGGGGAGGGAAGGUAGACACCACCUCUGAUGGGAAGCAUGUCAAAGACACUGUGGCUAAUUUUUAAAAUAAAGCAAUGUUGAAACUACACUCCAUUGUACUUCUACCUGGAAGCAGGGGAUGGGUAGAAAUGAAAUUAAUAUUUAUCACUAUGAACCAUGCAUGAUGUCAAAUACAGUACACAUGUUAGCCCACAACAACUUCCUGAAUUAAAAAGGGCAGUUCCUAUAUUACAGAUGAGGAACUGAAAGCACAGAGAGUUUCAGGUGCUCCUCAAAUUACGCCAGUAGCGAGUAGCAGAUUCUAAUGUCAACGCCAGAUGUGCCCAAUGUUCAUCCUUCCAGACUAUUUUAUGCUGCUGGAAACACGGCAAAGACAAGUAGCAUGUUGGGAAGGGAAUCAGCGUUCUCUUCGGCUAAAGCCUUUGUGUUCUCUAUGGUAGGGUUUCUCAAACUUUAACACAUAUAUACAUCCCCCGGGCAUCUUGCGAAAAUAGAUUCUCAUCCUUCAGGGCUGGGCUGGGGACUGAGAUUCCACAUCUAACAAGCUCCCAGGGGAUGCUGCUGCUGCUAGCCUGUGGCUUGCACUGUGGGAUGUGGGGCUCUAUGGCACAGCAGGGUGAUAAUACACUGGGGUGCAGUGCCCAGACAAGGCCCAGAGAGCCAAGCAAAGCAUGCGUCCUUCCUUAGGGGCCUGAUAACCUUCCCUAUUCUGGGGGCAGUGAGAGUCUAAGGAUAGAAGUCCAGGGGUGGGUAGUGGGUGGAAUGUGGUUGAAUUCCUUGGCAGUCUGUCCCACAAUGCCAGUAGGCAUAGGAAGAAGUUAGAAAUUGCCAUUUUCUUCUGGGAAAAUCUUUUUGUUUAUUCUUUCACUUUGGUUUUUCUGGAGUUGUACAAAAAUACGGAUAAUUGCAAAAAGCUGGACUAUUGCAAUUGUGUGUGAUUCAGACAGAAUAAGCCUGAGAGGCAUAACUGAGUCCAGAAAAAUGCCAAGUCAUAAAUCAAAAGUGAGAUCAAACUAAUUAUUCCAAGUGAGUCGAUGGCACAACACUUGUUUAUCUCAAUACAUAAUCGGCUUCACUAAUUAAAAUGCAAAUUCGAUUGCAUUUAUAACUGGUAACCCUGCCAAGUUAAAGCUUCAAUACAUCUGAUGUGUGAGCUGUACGAACUUUUCAGGGACACUAGGUGGCGCCCGUGUACUUUUCUUGAGAAAGCCAGGCUGCUUUAACCAUUUAAAAUUUCAAUCAGUGGAAAGAAACGAGUUAGCCCAGUGGUUCUCAAAGACAUUGAGUCAAAACUCUGGGGAUUGGGCCCCAGAUCUGUACGGUAAGUAAUUCUUCCCAGACGAUUUUAUUUUUAUACCAGUUGGUUAAUGUAAUGACAUUGGAAACAGCUAGCACAGUUAAGCGCUUAAUUGCUUAAUUGUAAUAUGAUAAAACUGAGGCUGAGAGA
This 4185-nucleotide long non-coding RNA is filed under the name Homo sapiens (human). RNAcentral's name for it is "HSALNT0399522". Lineage: Eukaryota; Metazoa; Chordata; Mammalia; Primates; Hominidae. The record is from RNAcentral.